AUUACUUCUGUUUCCUGGAUGCCUCUUUCUCUCCUGAAAGAUGAACUAUUCUGCUGGCCUUCCUCAAUUCCCCAGAUUUUAAAAACUGUUGAAGUUCCCACUAGUGUUCCUUGUCAUCUGUAUUUUGCACUGUGCAAUCCAGAAACCACAGUGACACGUCUGCUGGACUCUGUACGUCAGAGGGAGAGCAGUGUUUGAGGCUGAGUCCCUCAGCAGCGUGUCGGCAAGAAGCUUCCAUAUGGAAGAACCUCUGCCAGCAUCCUUCCCACCUCAUGAUGAACCCCUGGGACUGAGAGCGCAAGCUUCAUCUUAACGUUGUUCCAGGCCAAGUCCAUAACUUCCUCAAGAGGACUCUUUUGCCUACCCACAGAACUGGAUUCUCUGUAAGAUGAGCAAAGUGAAGGCUCUGUGCUUGACCACAGUGAUGGCUGUUCAAACCAAACUAAGGCUCUGGACUAAAGGUGAGAGUGCCGGAGAAGCCAGGCUGAACAUGUGACAUUCCUGGUUUGAUGUGACUGGCAACACGGACCAUAUCACCCAGUCCAUCUCCUUUCAUGACUUUUCUUGGCUACGUCUCCACAGACAGCCUAGAAACAGAGAGGAAGGCAAGGAAACGGCAUCGUCAGAAUGACCUGGGAGGGAUUAGGAGGCGAUUAUUGAUGAAGGCAUCCACGACACCAGGACAGGUCUGUGGAGAAUUUCCCAAGGUGCUCCAAGGCUACCUUCUCUGUCCGAAGAAGUGGAUGCAGCUGAACAACUGCUCCUCUACUUCUGCUGCCUCAGUUUUUCAGACACCCAACUGA
This 803-nucleotide long non-coding RNA is filed under the name Calidris pugnax (ruff). RNAcentral's name for it is "lncRNA (ENSCPUG00000002880.1)". Lineage: Eukaryota; Metazoa; Chordata; Aves; Charadriiformes; Scolopacidae. The record is from RNAcentral.